AUGGAGAGCAGUUUACAGGAUGCAAGUCCACAGCCAAGGGAGUUUCGACUCGAAUUCCUACAACGUAUUACGAAUAAUUUUUCCGAGGACAACAUAAUUGGCGAGGGUGGGUUUGGAGUAGUUUACAAGGGAGUAUUGGACAAUGGAAUUGUGAUUGCUGUGAAGAAGCUUACUCACAAAGGGCUUAACGACAAGGAAUUUAUAAACGAGUUCAAUAACAUUAUUAGGGCCCGUCAUCAAAAUAUUGUACAGUUUUUUGGCUAUUGCUACCAUCCCGGUACUAGUUGGGUUAUGCACAAUGGACAGUAUAUCUUUGCUCAUGAGCCAAUAAGAAUUCUCUGCUUUGAAUAUUUGCACGGUGGAAAUCUUGAGAGUCACCUUUCUGAUGAGCAGCCGUGUAGGCCUGAUUGGCAAACAUGUUACAAGAUAAUUAAGGGAGUUUGUCAGGAUUCCAUUUACCAUCUAGACUUAAAGCCGGCAAAUAUAUUGUUGGGAAACGACAUGAUUCCGAAAAUUGGAGAUUUUGGUAUAUCAAGGAUCUUCCCUUCCACAAAAACCGUUACCACCACAACAAGAAUGAUGGGGACAAUGGGAUUCAUGCCACCGGAAUAUAUCAACGAACAAGAAAUCUCACCAAAAUAUGAUGUGUUUAGUUUGAGUGCUAUUAUCAUACAAAUAAUGACAGGACGCCAGAGCUACCAUGAUUCUGGAAGUGUUCCUUCCGAAAAAAUGAUCGAUCUUGUAUGUGAAAAAUGGCAGAAGCUACAUCCAACAAUGUCAUUACAAACAUGGGAAGAAGUUAAAACAUGCAUCGGAAUAGCAUUAAGAUGUCUGCAGGAUGACCGACAUAAAAGACCAACCAUAAUAGAGAUCAUCGAUGAACUUAAUAGGAUUGAUAUUGAAGCAUUGUCGCUUACAAUUGAGGUAUUGAAAGAUUAG
This 939-nucleotide ribosomal RNA is filed under the name Triticum aestivum (bread wheat). Its description in RNAcentral is "partial small subunit ribosomal RNA". The record is from RNAcentral. Lineage: Eukaryota; Viridiplantae; Streptophyta; Magnoliopsida; Poales; Poaceae.